This 460-nucleotide ribosomal RNA is filed under the name uncultured Bacteroidota bacterium. Its description in RNAcentral is "bacterial SSU rRNA". It matches the Rfam family "Bacterial small subunit ribosomal RNA", at positions 338 to 795 of the family's 1533-position model. Lineage: Bacteria; Pseudomonadati; Bacteroidota. The record is from RNAcentral.
CCUACGGGUGGCAGCAGUGAGGAAUAUUGCGCAAUGGACGAAAGUCUGACGCAGCCAUGCCGCGUGCAGGAUGACGGCCCUAUGGGUUGUAAACUGCUUUUGUAUGGGAAUAAACCCUUCUACGUGUAGGAGGCUGAAGGUACCAUAAGAAUAAGCACCGGCUAACUCCGUGCCAGCAGCCGCGGUAAUACGGAGGGUGCAAGCGUUAUCCGGAUUUAUUGGGUUUAAAGGGUCCGUAGGCGGGCCGAUAAGUCAGUGGUGAAAGCCCAUAGCUCAACUAUGGAACUGCCAUUGAUACUGUCGGUCUUGAGUAUAUGUGAUGUUGGCGGAAUGUGUAGUGUAGCGGUGAAAUGCUUAGAUAUUACACAGAACACCGAUUGCGAAGGCAGCUGACAAAUAUAUAACUGACGCUGAGGGACGAAAGUGUGGGGAUCAAACAGGAUUAGAUACCCGAGUAGUC